Molecule: ribosomal RNA, 497 nt
Filed under: uncultured bacterium
Lineage: Bacteria
Description: partial 16S ribosomal RNA
Rfam family: Bacterial small subunit ribosomal RNA
Source: RNAcentral
GAUGAACGCUGGCGGCGUGCCUAAUACAUGCAAGUCGAGCGAACGGACGAGAAGCUUGCUUCUCUGAUGUUAGCGGCGGACGGGUGAGUAACACGUGUAUAACCUACCUAUAAGACUGGGAUAACUUCGGGAAACCGGAGCUAAUACCGGAUAAUAUUUUGAACCGCAUGGUUCAAAAGUGAAAGACGGUCUUGCUGUCACUUCUAGAUGGAUCUGCGCUGCAUUGGCUAGUUGGUAAGGUAACGGCUUACCAAGGCAACGAUGCAUAGCCGACCUGAGAGGGUGAUCGGCCACACUGGAACUGAGACACGGUCCAGACUCCUACGGGAGGCAGCAGUAGGGAAUCGUCCGCAAUGGGCGAAAGCCUGACGGAGCAACGCCGCGUGAGUGAUGAAGGUCUUCGGAUCGUAAAACUCUGUUAUUAGGGAAGAACAUAUGUGUAAGUAACUGUGCACAUCUUGACGGUACCUAAUCAGAAAGCCACGGCUAACUACGUG